RNAcentral lists this ribosomal RNA (523 nucleotides) under uncultured microorganism. Its description in RNAcentral is "bacterial SSU rRNA". It matches the Rfam family "Bacterial small subunit ribosomal RNA", at positions 9 to 521 of the family's 1533-position model. The record is from RNAcentral.
GAGUUUGAUCAUGGCUCAGGAUGAACGCUAGCUACAGGCCUAACACAUGCAAGUCGAGGGGAAACGGGAAAGCAGCUUGCUGCUUUCUGUCGUCGACCGGCGCACGGGUGUGUAACGCGUAUCCAACCUUCCCAUAACUAAGGGAUACCCCGUAGAAAUGCGGCCUAAUACCUUAUGUACUCCCAUGACGGCAUCAGAAUGGGAGCAAAGAAUUUCGGUUAUGGAUGGGGAUGCGUCUGAUUAGCUUGCUGGCGGGGUAACGGCCCACCAGGGCAUCGAUCAGUAGGGGUUCUGAGAGGAAGGUCCCCCACAUUGGAACUGAGACACGGUCCAAACUCCUACGGGAGGCAGCAGUGAGGAAUAUUGGUCAAUGGGCGUAAGCCUGAACCAGCCAAGUAGCGUGCAGGAUGACGGCCCUAUGGGUUGUAAACUGCUUUUACAGGGGAAUAAAGUGAUUUACGUGUGUUUCAUUGCAUGUACCCUGCGAAUAAGGACCGGCUAAUUCCGUGCCAGCCGCCGCAGU